This 253-nucleotide ribosomal RNA is filed under the name uncultured bacterium. RNAcentral's name for it is "partial 16S ribosomal RNA". It matches the Rfam family "Bacterial small subunit ribosomal RNA", at positions 524 to 776 of the family's 1533-position model. The record is from RNAcentral.
UACGUAGGAUGCAAGCGUUGUCCGGAAUUAUUGGGCGUAAAGAGCGCGCAGGCGGUUUUACAAGUCAGAUGUGAAAGAAGCCGGCUUAACCGGCAAGGGUCAUUUGAAACUGUGAGACUAGAGUGCAGCAGAGGAUAGCGGAAUUCCCGGUGUAGUGGUGAAAUGCGUAGAUAUCGGGAGGAACACCAGUGGCGAAGGCGGCUAUCUGGGCUGCAACUGACGCUGAGACGCGAAAGCGUGGGGAGCGAACAGG